RNAcentral lists this transfer RNA (68 nucleotides) under Nototriton abscondens. RNAcentral describes it as "tRNA-Met". It matches the Rfam family "tRNA". Rfam says of the family: Transfer RNA (tRNA) molecules are approximately 80 nucleotides in length. Their secondary structure includes four short double-helical elements and three loops (D, anti-codon, and T loops). The record is from RNAcentral. Lineage: Eukaryota; Metazoa; Chordata; Amphibia; Caudata; Plethodontidae.
AGUAAAAUAAGCUAAAAAAGCUUUUGGGCCCAUACCCCAAAAAUGUUGGUUAAACCCUCUUUUACUAA